Long non-coding RNA from Cyprinus carpio carpio, 496 nucleotides. The record is from Ensembl. Lineage: Eukaryota; Metazoa; Chordata; Actinopteri; Cypriniformes; Cyprinidae.
UGCCUUGCCCUUUUUUUCUGUGCGUAUAUUCUGUUUUGCAUAAGUCGGUGUGCCACCGGAAGAACCGCCCAUGCAGCUGCAUUUUUCCUCCGUCCCUUGGCAGCUCUGUGGAAUGUCUGUUUAUGCGACUUGUAGUUAAUUUGCAAGUAGGUCGAGAGAGCUAGUUCCGUGCGGUCAGGACCACAGAUGUGACUAAACUGCCCAAGGCCACCACCAGAGCUCCGAGCAGAAACUUCCAAGAAAUUCCCUGAAAGACUCUGUGAAAAAUAAGGUGGUCCUGCACUUUCUAACACUGACCAACAGAUGGUGCCAUUUCACCGUCUGCAAGCUGCAUUUCAGGCCCGUCAUGAUUGACUGGCUGGCGAUCAUGUUUAUAAGGGUGUCCGUAGGUGUAUUGUGAAUCUGCAAGCAGUAAAGCGAUCUCCCCUUUCGUCAUUGAAAUGACGCACUCUUCCAGGGCCUAUGCAUGCAAAACAGUCACAUUUUAAACUUCAGG